RNAcentral lists this ribosomal RNA (812 nucleotides) under uncultured bacterium. Its description in RNAcentral is "bacterial SSU rRNA". It matches the Rfam family "Bacterial small subunit ribosomal RNA", at positions 8 to 814 of the family's 1533-position model. The record is from RNAcentral.
AGAGUUUGAUCCUGGCUCAGGAUGAUUUCUAGCGACAGGCCUAACACGUGCAAGUCGAGGGGCAGCGGGGCGUGGCAACACGCCGCCGGCGACCGGCGCACGGGUGAGUAACACGUAUGCAACCUGCCCCCAACAGGGGUAUAACCCGGGGAAACCCGGACUAAUACCGCGUAGUCCGAAUGAGGGCAUCCUUUUUCGGGGAAAGCUUUUUGCGGUUGGGGAUGGGCAUGCGGCGCAUUAGCUAGUUGGCGGGGUGACGGCCCACCAAGGCGACGAUGCGUAGGGGUUCUGAGAGGAAGGUCCCCCACACUGGUACUGAGACACGGACCAGACUCCUACGGGAGGCAGCAGUGAGGAAUAUUGGUCAAUGGGCGGGAGCCUGAACCAGCCAAGUCGCGUGAAGGAAGACGGCCCUACGGGUUGUAAACUUCUUUAGCCGGGGAGCAACGGCGCGGACGCGUCCGCGUGUGAGCGUACCCGGAGAAUAAGCAUCGGCUAACUCCGUGCCAGCAGCCGCGGUAAUACGGAGGAUGCGAGCGUUAUCCGGAUUUAUUGGGUUUAAAGGGUGCGCAGGCUGCCUGUCAAGUCAGCGGUAAAAUUGCGGGGCUCAACCCCGUACCGCCGUUGAGACUGACGGGCUGGAGUGCGGUUGAGGCAUGCGGAAUGCGAGGUGUAGCGGUGAAAUGCAUAGAUAUCGCGCAGAACUCCGAUUGCGAAGGCAGCAUGCCAAGCCGUUACUGACGCUCAGGCACGAAAGCGUGGGGAUCGAACAGGAUUAGAUACCCUGGUAGUCCACGCAGUAAACGAUGAAU